UUGAAAAUGAAUUAUAAUAAAUUGACAAAUCUAUAGAAAUUAUAGAUGAGACGAUAGAGUUACUGACUCAUCAACUAGUCGGACGAAUCUUUGUCUUCCGAGGUUGUGACGAGUAACGGGGAAUUGGGGUUCGAUUCCGGAGAAGAAGCUAGAGUAUCGGCUUCUACUUCUAAGGAAGGCAGCAGGCGCGUAAAUUACUCAAUGUCAACUUGACGAUGUAGUGACAAGAAAUACCAGUGUAGGUCUCAAAGAGAACUGCUAUUGGAAUGAAAACAAUUUAAAAACCUUAACGAGGAACAAAUAGAGGACAAGUCUGGUGCCAGCACCCGCGGUAAUUCCAGCUCUAUUAGCGUAUGUUAAAAUUGUUGCGGUUAAAACGCUCGUAGUUGAUACUGGGUUAUACUGAAGGACACUGGACUGCAAAAUAGUCUCACUUUCCUUUAUCUGGGUGAACAUUUGUGGAAAGGUGUUAAUUUCGGUUAACCUCAUGAUUUGGGAAACUGCUUUUCCCUUUUUGAGGGGGGGUUGAUUUUGUCUUUGAUGAAUGAUAUUCUUCUUUAGGAAGUAAGAAAAGUAGGUUAAAGUACUGAUGAAAAUAAUACUUUGAACAAACUAGCGUGUUUCAGACAGGCAUUAUUGCCAUUGAAUAUAUUAGCAUGGGAUAUUAGAAUAUGACAACAGUUUCGUAUUGACUGGUCGAAAUUGACUGUAAUGAUUAAAAGGGCCGGUCGGUGCUACUUUUAUUCAGUGGUUAGAGGUGAAAUUCUAUGACCCGUUGAAGAAAAACUGAAGCGAAAGCAUAUAGCAAGCAUGUUUUCAUUAAUCAAGAACGAAAGUUGUGGGAUCGAAGAUGAUUAGAUACCGUCGUAGUCACAACAGUAAACUCUGUCGAUUUAGGGUUGCCAGGCGUUGAUUGGAUGACUUUGGCUGAAUUAUACGAGAAAUUAAAAUUACUAGACUCCGGGGGGAUUAUGGUCGCAAGGCUGAAACUUAAAAGAAUUGACGGAAGAGCACCACCAGGAGUGGAACCUGCGGCUUAAUUUGACCCAACUCGAGAAAUCUUACCAAAUCAGGACACAAAAAGGAUUGACAGGAUAGAGUACUUUCAUGAUAUUGUGAGUAGUGGUGCAUGGCCGUUCUUAGUUGGUGGUGUGAAUUGUCUGGUUUAUUCCGACAACGAACGAGACCUCUUAAAUUAAAUAGCACUAAUAUUGCAAAUGUUAUAGUGCUGGAUCAAGAUAAUUAGGCGUUCUUUUUCUUCUUUUCCUUUUUGGAAAGUUUGUCUAUUCAAUUGUUUUGGUUUGGUACACGAAGAAAUUUUUAGAAUUUAUUUUAGAAACCUUCUUCGGUUUGGAUA
Molecule: ribosomal RNA, 1357 nt
Filed under: metagenome
Description: bacterial SSU rRNA
Rfam family: Eukaryotic small subunit ribosomal RNA
Source: RNAcentral